CGCGUAGACGGUUCUGUAAGUCAGAUGUGAAAUCCCUGGGCUCAACCUGGGAACUGCAUUUGAUACUGCAUGGCUAGAGUAUGGAAGAGGGAAGUGGAAUUUCCGGUGUAGCGGUGAAAUGCGUAGAUAUCGGAAGGAACACCAGUGGCGAAAGCGACUUCCUGGUCCAAUACUGACGUUCAUGUGCGAAAGCGUGGGGAGCAAACAGGAUUAGAUACCCUGGUAGUCCACGCCAUAAACGAUGACAACUAGAUGUUGGGAGGGUCUGCCUCUCGGUGUCGCAGCUAACGCGUUAAGUUGUCCGCCUGGGGAGUACGGCCGCAAGGUUGAA
Molecule: ribosomal RNA, 331 nt
Filed under: uncultured bacterium
Lineage: Bacteria
Description: bacterial SSU rRNA
Rfam family: Bacterial small subunit ribosomal RNA
Source: RNAcentral